GGUUCAGAUUGGUGGUAAUUAAAUGACAGACAAAGGUUAUUUUACUUAAAUAUACAGCUUCAUGCCACUUUAUGUUCUUUUGUUUUCCCUUCAGAUGACAUGAUUGGGCUAAACUGCUACUGCAGGGAGGUUAACUUUUACUGUGCCAAAAAGAAGAGAGUUUUCCUGGUGGCUAUCCUGAAGCAGACUGUUGAUUUUAAAAAUGCCAAAAGGCAAUCAGCCCUGGGAUCGAAGCUCUGAGGAGGUUUCAUGUUCUGGGUUUUAUUUUCUGACUUCUUGAUUGCUGGAAUCCCCGCAAAAUGUCUAAAGUGGUCCAGUGUGUAACCAAAGAGGCUGUCACUGCGCUGCAGUUGGUCUCAGUGGGAUGUGAGGCCACUGAUGGUAAAAAUAAAUCGUUCAAACA
Long non-coding RNA from Xiphophorus couchianus (Monterrey platyfish), 403 nucleotides. RefSeq lists it as uncharacterized. The transcript has 2 exons. NCBI's taxonomy places the organism in Eukaryota, Metazoa, Chordata, Actinopteri, Cyprinodontiformes, Poeciliidae. The record is from RefSeq and is a predicted model, not a curated record.